UAAGGAAACCAAAAUCCUAGAGUUCUCG
RNAcentral lists this non-coding RNA (28 nucleotides) under Rattus norvegicus (Norway rat). The record is from RNAcentral. Lineage: Eukaryota; Metazoa; Chordata; Mammalia; Rodentia; Muridae.